This 72-nucleotide transfer RNA is filed under the name Camelus bactrianus (Bactrian camel). It matches the Rfam family "tRNA". From Rfam's summary of the family: Transfer RNA (tRNA) molecules are approximately 80 nucleotides in length. Their secondary structure includes four short double-helical elements and three loops (D, anti-codon, and T loops). The record is from Rfam by way of RNAcentral. RNAcentral also lists the same sequence under 2 other names. Lineage: Eukaryota; Metazoa; Chordata; Mammalia; Artiodactyla; Camelidae.
GAGGGUAUAGCUCAGUGGUAGAGCAUGUGCUUAGCAUGCACAAGGUCCUGGGUUCAAUCCCUGGUACCUUCG